CACGCCAAGAAGAGAAGAACUGAGUGAGUUCAGACUCUCAACUUUCAGUCGAUUGUCAGAGAAGGAGGAGCAGCCUGACUGAAGAUGAGUGAUGUGGGUGAAGAGGAGGACAGAGCAGAGUCUGUGGACAGGGAAGAGACGCCAAGAGAGUCCAGGAGCAGACACACAACAGAGUCUUCAGGAUCAAGCAGGUUGUCUCUGAAGAGUGACCGGUCCAAAGACAAUCCACCAAAAUUCAGUGGUGAACCUGAACCUUCAGACACAAAAGAGAAGAAGAGCAGUGAUGUCUGUGAGGAGCAGCAGGACCAGGGUUCUUCAUCAGGAC
Salarias fasciatus (jewelled blenny) is the source of this 325-nucleotide long non-coding RNA. RefSeq lists it as uncharacterized. Lineage: Eukaryota; Metazoa; Chordata; Actinopteri; Blenniiformes; Blenniidae. The record is from RefSeq and is a predicted model, not a curated record. The transcript has 4 exons.